GAUGAACGCUGGCGGCGUGCCUAAUACAUGCAAGUCGAGCGGACGGGCGAGAAGCUUGCUUUUCUGAUGUUAACGGCGGACGGGUGAGUAACGUGUGGAUAACCUACCUCUAAGACUGGGAUAACUUCGGGAAACCGGAGCUAAUACCGGAUAAUAUUUUCAACCGCAUGGUUCAAAAGUGAAAGACGGUCUUGCUGUCACUUCUAGAUGGAUCCGCGCUGCAUUAGCUAGUUGGUAAGGUAACGGCUGACCAAGGGGCCGAUGCAUAGCCGAGCUGGGAGGGGGAUCGGCCACGAGAGAACGGAGAGACGGAUUAGACUUCUACGGGAGGCAGCAGUAGGGAAUCUGGCGGAAGUGGGGAAAGUUUGACGGAGCAAGGACGUGUGAUGCAGGAAGGCCGCGGGAUCGAAAACCUCUGUUAUGAGGGAAGAACAUAUGUGUAAGGAACUGGGCACAUCUUGACGGUACCUAAACAGAAAGCAACGGCUAACUACGUG
This 497-nucleotide ribosomal RNA is filed under the name uncultured bacterium. RNAcentral's name for it is "partial 16S ribosomal RNA". It matches the Rfam family "Bacterial small subunit ribosomal RNA", at positions 28 to 507 of the family's 1533-position model. The record is from RNAcentral.